GGUUGGGGUAGGGGUGGGGGUGGGAUAUAGAGGAAGUGUCAGGGAGUGUGUUUUAUGUUGAAACUGUACAGACCGAAAAUGUCUCACAAAAAAAAGACGAAAAAAAAAAAACGGCAUUUUUGUUUUCCAUUCACUAUGGCUGUGGUUGAGCUCCUGUUGUAAUGGUUUUUAUUUAAUAUUUAUGUGACCUUCCAAAUGAGAAAUUUUUAGAGUGUUAUUGCACUUUUUAGGUUCAUUUUUACCAUCUGGGGAAUGAAAAAAAAGGAAAAAAAUAAUGAUAUAUAUCUUUUAACAGGGAAUUUGCUUUAAAGAUGUUGUUUUAGUUCACUUUUUUUUUCUUUUUUUUUUUUGCUUUGAUGCACAAAUAGAUGUUAGUGUGACAAAGAACUGUUGUUCUGUGGUUUAUUUAAAGAUUGGUUUUUAUUUUUUGCUUCUUCUGUGAUUGGACAGUACAGCGAUUUUAAAAAAAGGAAGAAAAACAACGACAACAUAAAAAAAAAAGGAAGGAAACGCGGUGCGUCGGGAAAACGGCGCUCCUGUAUGAAACACUAAUACGGACUGUGAUUUCAAUUAAUUCUUAAGGAGUUCAUAGCAAUGCUCACUUACUGUAGUACUAAAUUAUAAACCUGUCUAAACCACCCUCUGGUUUUUAUUGAGCGAACAUGUACGACUGAGGAGUGGACACACUGAUCAUGAAUUAUCUCCUGAGCUUAGCAUUGGAUAUAAAUGAUCACAAUAUAGGGAUAAAUAAUGUGUGUAGAUGAUAUUCCUCCAGAUAUUGUUUUGAGAAGAAGAAGAAGAAGAAGAAAAAAUAAGGUUGUACAGUAUUUUCCUCUGUAAAAAAUGACUAUAUAUGAACAAAAUGCUCUUUGAUGAACAGCUUCCUUUAAAAAGAAAACGGUAAAAAAGGAGAAAUGAAUAAUAAAAAGUUAAAAAUUCAAAUAGCCUCAUCAUAGUUUGCUUGUGUGCGUGACCUCUCUUAAUUAGAAGUUGUUCAUAUUAUAGCGGCGGUGGGAUGCCGUUACAUGCCGUAUAUUUUAUUUCUUUUCUCUCAAACUAAAAAUACACUGAUUUGAAUUCAUUCAUGGAUGUUUCUCUCUUAUUUAUUGAUUCAUUUGAUUCAUUGUCAUUUUUCUGUGCAUGAUCUCUACCCCCCCCCUCACACACACACACAAACACACCCACCCCCACCCCCCCCAAUCCCUCUCAUUAACUGAAAAUCUUGGUUUGUAUUUACUUUGCUGUGGGCGCAGACUGAACUGUCUCCCGGGACUCUGUUGCAGAGCAGAGGCAUUUACUACGUUUGUUUUGUUUUCUCUUCAUUUGCUGAGAUAACUGCAGGGGCUGGGAGAUGUUGUGUACUUGAAUUCAGUUUAGUGUGUGUGCAGGUGUGUGUGUGGGUGUGAAAUUUUGUUAAAAAAGAAAAAAAAAGUAAGAAAAUAAAGACGCUGUAAUUAUUAUGACGCAUGAUCGGUAAUGAUUCAGCCUGAGGUCGUUUUUAGUCACAUGUAGGGGGAAAACUGCUGCUGCUGGACAACAGCAGGGCAAAAGCAGCACUCCUUUUUUCCCCUCUGUGUCAGUGAUACUACUGAAGUGUGUGUGUGUGUGUGUGUGUGUGUGUGUGUGUGUGUGUGUGUGUGUGUGUGUGUGUGUGUGUGUGUGUGUCCUGCUGAGAGAGACUCAUAAGCCGUGGCUGUUCUGUCCCACCUACUCAAACCUGCAGUUUAAUCCAUAACCUCAUUUUCCUGCUUGUUCCUCUAUAAACUCAACUUUUUUUUCACCAAAAUAAUUGAAAACACACAAACACACACAUAAAAAGACAAAAAAAAACAUCUGCAUUCAUGCAGGUAGAGGAAUCAACAAUAUUUGUUGUCGGGGUUGUUCAUUCUUCACAUUCUGGUGUGAGAACAGGAUCAGAGCGAGGACCAUUACUGAGAUUUAGAGGUCUGCUACUGCUAACAAGAUGGCUCUCUGUGUCUUGCUCACUGGUAACAGGGCACAUUUAUUAUUAUUACUUUUUUUUUUUUCUCUCUUUAAGCCAUGUGCUGGUGUCUCCUCCCAAUAUUUCAUGUCACCCAGUGGCCAGUGUGCUGACUCUGUCCCCUCGUCUACAGCUGUUCCUGUCCUUACUCCUUCUCUUCCUUGUGAUGUUUUUUUUUUUUUAAUAAAAAAAGAGAAAAAAAAGCACGGGUAAAGGCAUCACCAUCUGUCUGCCAGCUGGUAUCCUGUAUAUAAUCUACCAGUGGAAAAAAAAAGAAAAAAAGAAUAAACAUGAAAAUUAUAUUACACAAAAACCAGACGGAAACGACCUCCAAAUCCUGCAUAGGCUGCUGCUGAAACGACAGAUCGUUUUACUGUUUUAAUUAACAGAGUAAAAAGGAUGGUAUAAAAAAUGUGUGUGUGUGGGGGGGGGUAAACAGAGAUGUAUUUCCACUGCUGGAAAAAUGUAAUAUGAAAGCAGCCUUCUUACUGCAGAGUAGUGGAUAAACAGAGCAACAAUUUAGACUUUGUAAAAUAUAUUGCACUUUUGGACUAAAAGCCAUCUCCCGUUAGCGUUCAAUUUGGCUCGAUUUAUGAGACGUUUUAUAUGAAAAGUAGACAAUGAAGCAAUUUUUUAAAAAGUCUCUACUUCAAUUUGUUGCCCUCAGCGCUACUAUUCAUUCUCGUCGUGUUGCUUAUUUCCACUUGGAUACAGUGCUGUUCAUCUUCAUUGUUCUAUAUUUAUGUUUUUGCAUGUCUUAUGCAAACAUUGAGCUUUUCACUCAGUGAAAUAAAAAAAACCAUACUGAAUAACUUUAGGCCUGUUUCCGGUGUCAGUGUGUUUUUGAAUUUUAAAACAUGUGUAUGACACAUCUUUGAGCAGAUUCAUACCUUCUGCUUUCACACAAAACAACCUCGAGUUUUAUGUUUUAUAAGCCUCAACUGUGUGUUUGUGUGUGUGUGUGUUAUUGUGCCAGGCAACACUGACAAGCAUUUGGUUGAUAUGUCAGGAACAGGUUGAGUGAGUGUAUGUGUGUGUGUGUGUGAGCAGCGUGGAGAGGCAACAGUUGAGGCUGGGA
Long non-coding RNA from Astatotilapia calliptera (eastern happy), 3059 nucleotides. Lineage: Eukaryota; Metazoa; Chordata; Actinopteri; Cichliformes; Cichlidae. The record is from Ensembl.